ACACGGAGGGCGCAAGCGUUGCUCGGAAUCACUGGGCGUAAAGCGGGUGUAGGCGGUCUAGCAAGUCAGAUGUGAAAGCCCACGGCUCAACCGUGGAAGUGCAUCUGAAACUGCUAGACUUGAGUGCCGGAGAGGGAAGUGGAAUUCCUGGUGUAGGGGUGAAAUCCGUAGAUAUCAGGAGGAACACCGGUGGCGAAGGCGACUUACUGGACGGCCACUGACGCUGAGACCCGAAAGCGUGGGGAGCAAACAGGAUUAGAAACCCUAGUAGUCC
Molecule: ribosomal RNA, 274 nt
Filed under: uncultured bacterium
Lineage: Bacteria
Description: partial 16S ribosomal RNA
Rfam family: Bacterial small subunit ribosomal RNA
Source: RNAcentral